AAAGAAGUUCUUCUCAUCCCCUUUGUCUAAUUUUUUUUCUUCUUAUCCCGUCCCACCGCUCCCCCAUUCCAUGGUGGCCGCCCCUCACUUCCAUUCCUUGUGGAUGUAGUACCUCAUCAGGCCGCCCUUUCCUUUCGUCCCCGCCGCCGGCGCGAGGCCUCAACUGCUCUCCCCACUGCCUCCUCUCCCCGGCACGCAGUCGCACGCCGCAUCCUCUCCCGCCACAUCGUCGCCCAGCCCAUCCUCUCCCCCUCCCCACGGCCUUGCGCCGCCGCCUCCUCUCCCCACCAUAACCUCGCCUUGCCGCUAACACCGUCGGUCUUCCCUAGAUCGACUCUGCCGUCGCCGUACACAUGUCCCAGUGCAGAUCCAGAUGCGAGCUAGAGGAGCGUGCUGGACACGAUGCGGGAGCAGGCAUCUCGGAGCGGCCCGAGGUUCUGUGCGUCUCGUGCCCCUGUGAUAGUCGGCCUCGUGCUUGGCUCCCACAUUCAAUCCGGGAAGGCGCUCGCAGCUCGCUUACGUGCUCGACUACUCCAGUUACUUGAUGGAUUCAGGCUACUAUAAGAAAUGGCAACUUGGGGCAUGACUUGCAAGAAAGGGAUUCUAUGACAGAAUGACAUUGCUUCAUGGUUUCGGGUAUGUAGAGAAUGUGAUGUUUAGAAAAAUCUGGGCAACAGCAGCAUUUCCAAGGUGACAAAUAUGUUCUUAUUUUGGCUUGUAACAAGGAGUGUCGUGAAAGAUCAGGCCGCAACAACAGAUCGGAUCUCACCACGAGGUUCGGUCUUCAUCAGGUGGUAUUCAGAGCAAGGUUGUUCACGACACUAUGGAGAAGAUGAUGAGCGCAUUAUCAUUCAGUAAGUUAAGCUAUGGAUUUCAGUUGGAGGAGGAAGGCCGUUGGGCCGGGCUAUUUCACACCCGUGUGGUGGUGAGAGAGAGAUCAUGUGCUAUGAUGGUCGAUCACAUGAAUUUGAUCAACGCCGCAAGCAUCGAGAUGGUGGAGAAACUGAAUCUACCAAUGACACCAUGUCCACAACCAUACUGUUUCCGUUGGGGUCAUGAAGAGCUCACUGUCACGCAACAAACAAAGGUACCGUUUUUGUUGGAAAAUUAUUUUUGCGAGGUUUUGUGCGACGUGAUUCUGGCACCGAUGAUUUCAUGUCACUUGUUAGUGGGAGAGCCGUGGUACAGAGAGCAUGAUGUCGCGUACGAUUGCAAAACACACAGAUAUACCGUCAAGAGGGGUAAGAAGUGCAGCCUCGUGCCAAUGGGUGAGGAGCGUUUUAUUUCUUGGAGGAAAGAACAUCUUGAGAGGAUAAAAGAGCAGGAAGAAGAAGAAAAGAAGAAGGCCCAAGUUGCUGAAAUUUCUGUGGUUGUUAUUCAAUCGAGUGAAGAAAAUAUUGCUCAAGAGGUCAACCCAAAUCCGAGGACGGUUUUGAUGCAAGGAAGAGAGGAUGAUACGACCACACAUAAUGUUGUACCGCAUCAAAUCACAGAUAUACAUGAGCCUAAAAUAUUUCAAUUUAGUGAAGGUAACAAGGAGUGUCGUGAAAGAUCAGGCCGCAACAACAGAUCGGAUCUCACCACGAGGAGACAUUGAAGAGGGGAUGUCUGGCCAUGAAGCCACCUUAUUGUGAUCGCCAUUGUAUAAUGUCUUUGUUGGGGUAUCUGCUUCUUUCAUGCUUGGAAACAUUGAUGAGGGGAUGUCUGUCCACAAAAUAUGUAAAUACCUCAGGAGGAGCACGGGCAGACGAGUUCCAGCGAAGACAGCAGAGGCGAGAGUGGAAGCUUGCGGCACGGCAAUGUCGAGCCUAAGUCAAGCCAGACUGAAAGUAGAUGAGGUACCAAUGUUCAUAGACAUGUUGAAGGAUGUCGUAUAUGGUAACAGUUAACAAAAAUACCUGAUGUAAAGCUGACUUGUCAAAGAGCUUAAUUGAAACGAAGGUGACAACCUGUGAAACUGGCAGGUUAAUUGUAAAGCUGAGCUUAAUUGAACCGAAGGUGACGACGCGUGAAACUGACCAGUUAAUUGAACCAAAAACUGGGAUUGUGUCACAUGAAAAAUCACUGGAGAUAGGAUGUAUUUGUAGCACCAACGAUGCCCGCCUCUAAGUAGGUUUCGGACUCCUGUAGGAAUCUAAAUAGGAGUAGGAAUAGGAAUAGGAAUAGGACCAGGAUUUGGACUCAUGUAAGGAAGCCAGCCAGCGGCGCUGCCUCCGUACGCAGUGGGUCCUUCCUUCAUCGAUACGGGCCGGCAGCUUCGUUUGUUUGGCAAUUUAAAAAUAGAGAUAUGGGCCGGCCGGCCGGCUCUUGUUA
Molecule: long non-coding RNA, 2313 nt
Organism: Triticum aestivum (bread wheat)
Lineage: Eukaryota; Viridiplantae; Streptophyta; Magnoliopsida; Poales; Poaceae
Exons: 7
Source: RefSeq, a predicted model, not a curated record